UACGGAGGGUGCAAGCGUUAUCCGGAUUCACUGGGUUUAAAGGGUGUGUAGGCGGGCUAUUAAGUCAGUGGUGAAAUCUCCGGGCUCAACCCGGAAACUGCCAUUGAUACUAUUAGUCUUGAAUGUUGUUGAGGUGGGCGGAAUAUAUCAUGUAGCGGUGAAAUGCAUAGAUAUGAUAUAGAACACCGAUUGCGAAGGCAGCUCACUAAACAACGAUUGACGCUGAGGCACGAAAGCGUGGGGAUCAAAC
RNAcentral lists this ribosomal RNA (250 nucleotides) under uncultured bacterium. RNAcentral describes it as "partial 16S ribosomal RNA". It matches the Rfam family "Bacterial small subunit ribosomal RNA", at positions 524 to 773 of the family's 1533-position model. The record is from RNAcentral.